CCGUCAACACCUGCGAGUCCCGUGACACAAUCGUUCGAUUUUUUGGCACCCACCGACCGGCUCUCGUCCCGCUCGGAACGUUUUUUAUCGUUAUUAUUAGGCCGAUGAUUAUCGCGUUAUCCGCGGGUGACGUUGUAUCAUGUGAAAUCGAGGAUCGAAUCGUUGACACGCAUACGCGACUACAGUUGGGAUCGUGAUCUUAACACGUUGAAUGCCGUGGGAGUCGCUGGUGACCGGAGCUUCGAAAUAACUCGGAAACAAUUAGAAUUCGUAAGGUGUAAGUGGUAAAACGCUGUUUUUCGUGGCAGUCAAGCAACGUGUUAAUGGACGCUGCCGUGCGCGAUAAUGUGAAACGGACCUAAUGGUGUUAAUUACGACGAAAAUGAAUUUUUCAUAGGAACUUUACAUGCUAAGUAAUUGCAACAGAAGAAAUUAAAUCAUUUUGACCCAUCUUGUAAUUCCAAUGUUAAAUUUCCAUUCUUUUACGGUCUUAGCCGUCUAUAAGCGCAACGACUGUUACGAGCACUCUUUAUUUACCGUUCAAUCUUCAUAAAACGAUAUUUAAUCUGUCGACCGCUACAGGUAUCGAGCGAUAGCUCUAAAAAAUUUGAUUUAUCAUUCAACAGAAGUGACAGCCGUAUUUUUAGAGCGUCGAGAGAAAAAGUGGAAUGUAAUAGUCCGAAGAGGUUAUGGUAACGCGAGAAGCUAACGUUCGAAUUGAUUUUGAAAAUUCCAAGCCGGUGACGCGUCAUUGUAAACUGUGCCAAGAAGCGGCGCGGAGGAAAUUGUAAACGAUGAAAUUUCGAGAAAGAUUGUUCGAAAUAGUCUAUGAUUAAAGAAGGAACAUAGACGUGCAACGGGCAUCCUCCGUGCGCAAAAAA
Nomia melanderi (Alkali bee) is the source of this 881-nucleotide long non-coding RNA. RefSeq lists it as uncharacterized. The record is from RefSeq and is a predicted model, not a curated record. NCBI's taxonomy places the organism in Eukaryota, Metazoa, Arthropoda, Insecta, Hymenoptera, Halictidae.